UAUCUGUAGGUGAACCUGCAGAUGGAUCAUUAACACAUAAUUAUAUACGGAGCUCGCACUUUGUUUGUAGAACUCCAGCGCUGGAUAUCCUUGCACACACUUCAACGUUGAACGCACGAGAUCGGAAGAGCACACGUCUACACCACAGUCAUGCAUACCAGCCGCGUCUAGCAAUAACAGCCUGAAAAUAUAUUCAAUAUAUUAAAACUUUCAACAACGGAUCUCUUGGUUCUG
RNAcentral lists this unclassified non-coding RNA (234 nucleotides) under plant metagenome. RNAcentral's name for it is "partial contains small subunit ribosomal RNA, internal transcribed spacer 1, and 5.8S ribosomal RNA". The record is from RNAcentral.